CACACAGUAAACGAUAAUCACUAGGUGUCGGGUUCUUAUAAUGGAUUCGGUGCCGUAGCUAACGCGUUAAGUGAUUCGCCUGGGGAGUACGAUCGCAAGGUUGAAACUCAAAGGAAUUGACGGGGGCCCGCACAAGCGGUGGAGCAUGUGGUUUAAUUCGAGGCAACGCGAAGAACCUUACCCGGGCUUGACAUCCACAGUCGGCUCCAGAGAUGGAGCUUUGCCGGUUUACCGGAACUGUGAGACAGGUGC
RNAcentral lists this ribosomal RNA (252 nucleotides) under uncultured Candidatus Cloacimonas sp. Its description in RNAcentral is "partial 16S ribosomal RNA". It matches the Rfam family "Bacterial small subunit ribosomal RNA", at positions 796 to 1041 of the family's 1533-position model. The record is from RNAcentral. Lineage: Bacteria; Pseudomonadati; Candidatus Cloacimonadota; Cloacimonadia (SeqCode); Cloacimonadales (SeqCode); Cloacimonadaceae (SeqCode).